AUGCCUAACACAUGCAAGUCGAACGCAUCUUCGGAUGAGUGGCGCACGGGUGAGUAACGCGUGGGAACCUACCCUGAGGUUCGGAAUAACGGUUGGAAACGACCGCUAAUACCGGAUGUGUCCUAUGGAGCAAAGGCUUGCCGUCUUGGGAGGGGCCCGCGUCCGAUUAGCUUGUCGGUGAGGUAAUGGCUCACCAAGGCGACGAUCGGUAGCUGGUCUGAGAGGAUGAUCAGCCACACUGGGACUGAGACACGGCCCAGACUCC
Molecule: ribosomal RNA, 265 nt
Filed under: uncultured bacterium
Lineage: Bacteria
Description: partial 16S ribosomal RNA
Rfam family: Bacterial small subunit ribosomal RNA
Source: RNAcentral